GAGAAAGAAGUGCACAACAAUCCUGGUGGACGUUGACUUUCAAUAUCAAGAUUUUAUAUUUGAAGGAUGAAUUUUAAGAUCAACAGUUUGUAUUUUAAGCUUCCGUUUAUUAAAAAUAAAAUCUAACAUCCUUUAAUUGUUCGAGAGCUGUUUAGUUUUUAAUCAGUUCUAGACGUGCAAUUCUUCGUUUUCAUUUUUUAUGCUCCUCCGUAUUACAGGAAAAAGAGAAGAUGAAUUUUCAGCUUCUUUCUCAAUUGAUGGCACAGCAUAGCAGAUUUCAUUAAGCUCCUGAUAAGGGGAUGGAAGGAGAUCAUGUAAUGAAGGACCCUGGUUCUCUGACUCCAGACCUCUCCAUGGCAUCCCCAGGAGCACGAAGGCACAGAGAUUUUAAACCGUCGGCUCAAGAUCACACAGCUACCAGUGGGGAGUAUUUAUAGUUUGAAAGAAGACUAAACGGAGAAAGCAACACUGCGCGGGAAGGCACGGACGGCUGGGUGAGGAGCCGCAGGCCCUGGGGGGACGUCGAUCAGGAUUGAUCCCCUCGCAGCACCCUCCGACACUCUUGCCCUGGAACGGCCUUUGGGAUACAUGCGGAACGUCAGUCCUGUCAGGGAUAUCGUCAAAAGCCAAAUCAAUGAAAAAGGAAAGAUGCCUGUUACUUCACUAAAAAAUUAUAAGACACUGUCCUACUCAUUUUUUCAUUUAUUUAACAAUUAAUUAUUGGGUGGUUGCUAUGUACUAGAGUUAUACCAUCUUUAAUUUUGGGCUCAAUGAAUUGUGCUAAUUUUGGAAAUUAAAACAUAUAAUUCAAAGCAAACAAAAUAAAAAAAUUAAUAAU
RNAcentral lists this long non-coding RNA (838 nucleotides) under Equus caballus (horse). Its description in RNAcentral is "lncRNA (ENSECAG00000050301.1)". The record is from RNAcentral. Lineage: Eukaryota; Metazoa; Chordata; Mammalia; Perissodactyla; Equidae.